Oncorhynchus tshawytscha (Chinook salmon) is the source of this 1676-nucleotide long non-coding RNA. The record is from Ensembl. NCBI's taxonomy places the organism in Eukaryota, Metazoa, Chordata, Actinopteri, Salmoniformes, Salmonidae.
ACACACACACACACACACACACACACACACACACACACACACACACACACACACACACACACACACACACACACACACAAACACACACAAACUUGUCCACUUCUAUCCACCCUUUCCAUUGGCCCCCGAACAGUGUCACUGUGAGAGCCAGUGUAGACACAAUUAAGGAAGGUGAAAUGUGCUGCCAUAUCUCUUUGAGUGGUAAGAUACGAUGUUCCCUUUGAGAUGGGAGCAGGGUAGCUGGGUUACCAGUUCUGUUUCUGCUCUAGCAAACACCGGUGUUUGUUGUUGUAGUCAGGUUUGACUGUUGGCUGGAGCCGUAAUGGAUCUGGCAACCAGGCUAGUAGCAAUGGGAAGAAAAGAGAUGGACAGAUUGAGAGUAGCUACUAUAGAAUGAGGGUGUUGAGUUUCGGUGACACAUGAAAAGGAAUGAACUGGCACGGCUGGAAUUCGAAGCAGAGAGCUGAGCACCAGCCAGCGUUGCAGAUGAGCUGGCACCAAUGUAACAGAAAGCCCGGGUCAGGUACGAACCGUCUGCUCCCCUCCCUCCCUAGACAUCAAAUGAAUCAACAUCGAUCCGCACAAAAUGGAACCUGACAAAUCGGCUGCGGCCAAGUCUGUGUAGGUCUACUGUGAAAUAGCUACAGUGCACAUUGGGUGAAUCACUGUCAUUUUAUUACAUGAGCCUAAAGUGCUCGCCACAACAUUGGAGGGGAAAGAGAGAACAUACAAAAUAUGUGCAAAUAUUUUUUAGCAAUGUAGGCCUAGCCUACUCAUUAUCAGUGAAUGAUUUCCAUUUACUGACCAAUAAAAUGUAAUUCUACAAAAACAACAGUGGGCUAAUGUUUGAUUUAUGUUGAAUUUGCUAAGUCUCUGAAAAAUGACAUGAAUUGAAAGUACAGCUGCAAGGUGUGCUAUGUAGGGCUAUAUCUAGACCUAUUUCCUUCCAAAAUAGAGCUUGCUCGCUUGUAGUCUAUAAAAACUAGAAAUUAGUUUACCUGUGGUAAAUUCAGCCAUCCUAUGGGGAAAGAAUAUGGUUUUGGGAUAAACGCAGAAGAUAAAGGGCUGAGGCUAUCGCAGGCGUAAAGUAUCUUAUACGUUUUGUUCUAUGAGAUAAUAUCAGCGAUUUAACUGGACUUUUAUGAAGAAAAAUGUGUAACAUAAAUGCUUCAAAAUUCAUGAAAAAUGACAUUAACUGAUGAAGAUUAUCUCAUAGAACAAAAUGUAUACAAAUCUCCUAAACCUGUGUUUACAACAGACCUUAUUUUUGGCGUUUAUCCAAAAACUCCAUUUUCCUAUUGACGGUGUCCAACGAACCAUGGCGGAGUUAGUGCCUAUGAAAGAACGGCACUACUAUUGCUCUCUAUACCAACCUUGGACCGUGUUGUCGUCAAACUGGGUCAGUAAAGGGUUAAGUCUGGAUUUGGCCGCUCCCCUGAAUGGUGGGUGAAUGCGAGGCGAGGCCGCAGAAAAACAAGCCUUCCAUUCAUCUCGUCACCGUGUGACCAACCUUGAACAGUGGAAGGCGUGUUAUUGCACCGGAGGUCCCGGGCAGGCAGCAGCAGAGAUGAGAGGGGGACGGAGGGGGGGACGGUGACUCAGGAAUUCCACUGAGGCGUACACAUGACCAAGCACCUCUUUUAUGCCCUCUUUUGUGGAGGAUGAUAUUCCUGAGG